GGCGCCGUAGCCAAGUGGUAAGGCAGCGGAUUGCAAAUCCGUUAUUCCCCGGUUCGAAUCCGGGCGGCGCCUC
RNAcentral lists this transfer RNA (73 nucleotides) under Tautonia plasticadhaerens. RNAcentral's name for it is "Planctomycetes bacterium ElP tRNA-Cys". It matches the Rfam family "tRNA". Rfam says of the family: Transfer RNA (tRNA) molecules are approximately 80 nucleotides in length. Lineage: Bacteria; Pseudomonadati; Planctomycetota; Planctomycetia; Isosphaerales; Isosphaeraceae. The record is from RNAcentral.